This 880-nucleotide long non-coding RNA is filed under the name Lupinus angustifolius (narrow-leaved blue lupine). RNAcentral describes it as "long non-coding RNA (LANG_LNC000937)". Lineage: Eukaryota; Viridiplantae; Streptophyta; Magnoliopsida; Fabales; Fabaceae. The record is from RNAcentral.
GGAAAGCAUCGCAUUUCUCUGCAUACACCAAGAAAAUUAUUGUUUCCACAAGCAUCUUAUCUGUGAGAUCAGGUAAACAACAUUCUUGCAUAGACCCAGCUUACCUAAACUUCCUUUCACACAAAAAUAUUCAGUCGUGCACUAGUGCUGCAGACCAUAACUUAUUUUCAGAGUAAAAUGAAGAAGAUUGAAAAGUACCAUUACAGAGAAUAAGCACCUUAUAUACAGAAGGAAACAAUCAGUUCUUCAGAAACUCAUGUCUCCAACCACUUAUUAGUUUUGAUUUUCAAUCAGAGCAUAAUUAAAAAACAAAUUAAAGACAUCAAUUAUUCUAAGAUUGGUCUAUUCUCUAAUGUGAAUUACAAAACAUCAUAUAGAGGAACUUUGAUAACUUAACAUCUAUAAUUACUACUAACUUACUGGACACCAAGUAAAUACAUUUAGAAAGUUUACAGUGUCCAUGAGAUCAUAUGCUAUCACUCAAAGCCUUUCUGAUCAUAUCCUAUCACUCAAAGCCUUUAAGAUAACUGGGUAUCCUUGAAACUCCUGCCCCUUCGUAGAAAAUAAUAAGAGUUUCCAGUUAAGAAGAACUGUUCCUCAGAGUCCCUGAUAUACAAAAAUGACACAGAAACUAAUUUGACAGCACAUUAAAAAUAGUAGAUCAUAUCAUUACUAUACAAUAUUAUAGAACCUUCUAAUUCCAUAUACUACCAUCUGCAUGGAAUUCAUAAUGUGAUACAAAUAACUAGUAUUUAAUGCUAACACUGUAUGUUCUUCUUGAGCUAGAACAGAAUUUGGAUUCCCUAUUUUUUCCCAUACAACCAUAUUUAAAUUUAAAAUCACAACAGAUAAAUGAAUGUCCCAAUUCAAAUUUAAAAUC